GUAUUGAAAAAGAAUAAUUAAAUUAAUAUACAGAAAAUUUUGAAUAUUUUACCUUUUGUAUCAGGUUUCACUAAUAUUUUUUUAUAUUGAUUAAUUUCGAAAUUAUUUGAUUUAAAAAAAUGUUAUUUUAUUUAUUUCAUAAAAAAUUAAAUUUUUUUUUUAGAGAUAAAAAUUCUUACGAAAAUAAUAAUACCUAAUUGAAAUCGAAAAAAAAUAAAUUUUGUCUUUUUAAAAGAUAAGUCUAGUUGGGUCAGCUAAUUAGAUUUUUAAAUAACAAUAUAUGUAUAGAGAAAACUAGGCUUUUAAUUAGCUUUGUUUAUAAUUUGUAUUAAAUAAUUUUUAGGGUUAUAAAUAAAAUUUUAAGUUAGUUUUCUUAUUUAUUUAAUAAUAGAUUAAACAUAAAAAUGGUUAAAUUAGUAUUUUUUUUUGAUAAGUUUUAUGAACUUAGUAAUAUUUUGACUGUUUAACAAAAACAUUUCUUUCCGAUAAAUAGAAAGUAAGACCUGCCCGGUGAUUAUUUAACGGCUGCAGUAUUUUGACUGUGCUAAGGUAGCAUAAUAAAUUGUUUUUUAAUUGAAAACUGGAAUGAAGGGUCUAACAAUUUUAAAAUUUAUUUGACUUAGAAAAUGAAUUUUUACUAUAAGUAAAAAUACUUAUAUUUUGUAGAGGGACGAUAAGACCCUAGAAGCUUUUAUUUAUUUAAUUAUUGAUUAAUUAUAUUUACAAGCUGUAAUUGAUAAAAUUUUGAUUGGGGAAAUAAAAAUUUUGAAAAUAAUUUUAUUUUUUAAUUAAAUAUUAUUUUAAGAUCUUUUAUAUAAAAAAGGGAGGAAAAAGUUACUCUAGGGAUAACAGCGUAAUAAUUUUGGUUAGGCCUUAUAUAUAAAAUUGAUUACGACCUCGAUGUUGAAUUAAAAAUUCUUUAUAAAGUAGAAAUUAUAACAGAAGGUUUGUUCAACCUUUAAUUUUUUACAUGAUUUGAGUUCAGACCGGUUUAAGCCAGGUCGGUUUCUAUCUUCUACCAAGCAAAAAUUUUUUUAGUACGAAAGGACCAAAUAAUUUUAAUAGUU
This 1067-nucleotide ribosomal RNA is filed under the name Metacrangonyx dominicanus. RNAcentral's name for it is "16S ribosomal RNA". The record is from RNAcentral. Lineage: Eukaryota; Metazoa; Arthropoda; Malacostraca; Amphipoda; Metacrangonyctidae.